UGGGUUGUAUUCUUCUUUGCUCCAUAUGCUGUUGCUAAUAAAGGAGGAGAAGAGAAAACUUCAGUUCACAGUUUGUAGAAGCCAAAGAAAGAGAUCUAGACAUCUGCUUCCCCAGCAGCACCAUUUAUUUAUUUUUUGAGUAAUAAGCAGAAGAAAAGGUAUUUCUCUGCAGAGAGUUGCAAGUUACUAAUAAAUAAUAUUUUAUUUCCUUUUAUUAAAGUUCAAAGCGUUUCAAUGCAAUUAUCCAAACAACCCUUAUAACAGCCCUGUAAGGCAGGAGUUCUAAGGCAUCCCUCUAACAGGCAUUUCUGUUUACAGAGCAGGAGCUUUAAAUGAAUCCCACAAACUAGUCCAGGUGCGCUGAUGCCACUGGCAUGAAGAACUGGAGACCAAACCCUUUGCAUAUCCCUCUCCCGAUUGCCACGUAUCUUGACAGUUGGGAUCAAGGAGGGAGGGAGAAAACGCACCUGUGGAAGAACUGCUGAGACCAGCAUGCAGAGCUGGGGAACUGGGAGCCAAGUUGUUUGGGACGCCAAACACUGUGGGGGAAGUUUCCGGCUAACAGAUAUUAGGAAAAUAUCAGAUGGCAUCAUGGAAAAAAGGGCUACCAAAUGGUCAGAGGAAGAGUUCAUCACUACAACUACUGGAUUAUUAAUCAAGGAGAUUCAACUACCCUUUGUUCAAGUCCACAAAAAAUAGCUCAAGCACUUACACCUGGUUGAUGGAGAAGCACUCUGCAGCCUCACUCGAAUUUCACUCUCUGUACAAGACAAAAUGAAAGAAGGGGCUUAUUGUGAAGGGAGAGGUAAUGGUAAUUGGAUACCCUGUACACACCUUUGGCAUGAAUAAGGUUCACUGCUGCUGGUUGUUAGCUUGGCAUUUGGUAUGUUC
Podarcis raffonei (Aeolian wall lizard) is the source of this 891-nucleotide long non-coding RNA. RefSeq lists it as uncharacterized. The transcript is spliced from 3 exons. Lineage: Eukaryota; Metazoa; Chordata; Lepidosauria; Squamata; Lacertidae. The record is from RefSeq and is a predicted model, not a curated record.